Molecule: long non-coding RNA, 3078 nt
Organism: Cygnus olor (mute swan)
Lineage: Eukaryota; Metazoa; Chordata; Aves; Anseriformes; Anatidae
Exons: 3
Source: RefSeq, a predicted model, not a curated record
UACCUAGAAACGCUCCUGCAAAUCAACUCCAGUACAGCUUUGUAGAGCAGAGCCCCCAGGCACCAACAGGACAUCACCUCUGCUGGCGGCCUCCCUGCUCACUAUGUGAGACAGCAAGGCGAACCCGGGUCUUGGCUCUCCUCACCAAGGAGCAGAAUCUGCCUAGGACCGACUGAGAAAACAAGCAAAUAGACUGAAAGGGCACCUGGUUACACCUGUGCAAGCCAGAAAAAAUGCAUAUAUAGUCCUUAGUGAAUUGAGUGCACUGCCCUGCUUUCUCAUUCCUUUGAAUCAAGGCAUCCCAGAAGCAGGCUGUAACAAAACAGAAGCAGGAAAGCUAAAUCAGACCUGACUUUCAAGGGACUAACCUCAGUGGGUUGGAAAGAGCACUGGAACUUUGCUGGCUUCUUCCAGCCACCAUGGACGUGUUUUAUUUAUAUGUGCCUCCCAAUUAAAAACUGAAGAGUGAAAGAGAAAGAGCUCAAACACCUACAGGGAGGAGCAUUUCCAGGAUGAGCCAUGAAGACCACCAGGGACGGGUGCAGUAAGCAACACACACUGCUGUUCCAGAUAAAAGUCAUGGUGCUCUGGGAACUGGCUGUAGCAAUAUGAACACGUGUCAUCAUGGCAAUCCAGUGCUCUCUGGCUGUGCAGCCAAAGCAGCUGAGGACCCUACCCAGGACACAGCCCUGGUACUUCCAGCGGUGCAGGACCCUGAGGAAGGAAAAACUGAAGGGUGAAAGAGAAAGAGCUCAAACACCUACGAGGAGGAGCAAUUCCAAAACGAGCCAUCAGGAACACCAGGGACGGGUGCAGUAAGCAACAUGCAUCGGAGUGGUGAGCAGAGGCAUGAUGUGACAGGUGUCUGGACUGGCCAUGAAGCAGCAGGAUCGGAACAGCACUUCAGCCUGAUAAGGUGCACGACUGUCAUUCAGGAGGGUGUUGCCACACAUCUACCUAACUACUUCAGGGAAAUAAUUAAAACAACGCCUUUAAAGAUCUUUGUUAAAAUGGUUUAAUUUAGGCUAUUUCAUUGCAAAUCUAUUCUGCAAUAAACCUGAUGGCAAAGAAGCACUUACCAACAUACAGCACUCAAUCAGAAGCAAGCGUCACAAGCAGACUUUCAUGCAGAAUGAUUACAGGUGUGCAUUACAACCACUUGCACUCUUUUCAUUCCUGUUACUACACAGCAAACCUCUUUGCACUGAGUUAAGAGCACCAGCUGCCUUCCUCUUACAAGGAUUUGGUGUCACUUGGCUCUGCUUGGAAAACGGGAGCAGCCGCUGAGUCGCAGCAGAGAGCACAAGGGCUCCUGCAGGAACACGACAGAACAUGAUCUGAUACGAGAAAUUCCUCCUACCCCCAAAUAAUCACUGCCUGUUCGCACGCCUAAACCAGACUGUAAGCUGCAGCAUGCUCGGCUGCUGUCACGUCUUCCUCUGGUAAUAAGCUCAGGGAGAAGAUCCUUGGAAAGGAAGAAUCAUGACUAGUCCCUGAAUGAAAAACCAUAGCGACUGUACCUAGCAAGGAUCAUCAUCCCAUCUAAGUUGCUGAAGAUGCCACCAAGUUCAUCAGAACUACCACCCAAAGCAGGAGCCUGCAUCUGGGAGGCAACUAGAAAAUAAAAGAUGGUGCAGUUGGGGUAUUAGCUACAGACUACUGGGCAAACAGAGAAAUCAAGAUGAGAAAAUACAACACAGAACGUUUGCUCUACGGAUAAGAGUGGCAUUUACAAAGAUGUGUGAAAGCAAGUUUGAGUGGAGGACGUAACUGUGCGCGAUCUGUUCUGCUGAAAAUCUGUCUUGGCAAACUGAGAUUGUUAUAUAUACAACCCUCCUGCAAACAGUCGAGCCAGGUUCCUAGGCCACACACUCUUCCCUGUCCUCCCACAGAUUCUUCUCCUAAGAGAGAAGGAAAGCUUAAGAAGUGGGAAGUUAUGCCCAAGGACUAUAAAAGAUCAAACCAGCAAGCAAGAUAGUUUCUGUGCCUUAAGAAAGUAUUUAGAUUCAGCUUAUGCUUUUCUUAGCAUCAAGCAAUGAGAGACCACGACGGCAGAAACCUUCUAAAUUUAAUUAUUAGUGAGCCAGUUGCAUGAGGAACUAGCAAUGCUAUCAGAUCUUCUCUGAAGAAUUACCAGAUGGCAUAUGACAGGACACCUGCCUUUAUGCAGAAUUACAGACCAUCCCAACUGCCUGCAGAGCAAGCCCUCACCACUCUAACCAAGCUGAGAGCUGCAGUUUAUUGCAGAGCACACCAGGUGCAGCUGCUCUUCAGUAAAAGUAGCUGCCCAAAUCCAGUAGCAAAACAUUAAGGUGGAAGAGGACAGACGUUUCUUCAAAAGAUGGAGCACGCUGAGCAGGGCGUUGACGAGCUGACUUGCCACCAGAACUGACUUCCCACCCUUUAGUGUUUCACCACGAAACACCCGCUUGGACAGCUCCUUGGAUCCAAUGCUGCCUCUCACCAAGACAGUAAAGAAGGAGCUUCUUCAUGCAACAAACAGCUUGCAAGAGGUGUCACCGGCAGUCUCAGCUGGGUCCUGUCCCCCUUUGCUAUCAAAGACAGGGGGGACAGAGGAGGGGAGGAGCAGACGAAGACUGCUCAGUAUGGCAGAGCAGCAGUGACAAAGAUGCAGGUGAGCACCGAGUCUGACAUUUUCUUCUGAGAAGGUCAGGGAGGUUUACAGCUCUAAUGCCAGCUUUGUUAUCACUCAAGUCUUUCCAGCAUUAUAUUCUGGCCCAGCUUCAUAGGUUGAACUUCCACAAGGAAUUGCAGUUUAUUAGACUUCAAGGGAGACUUUGGAGAAAGACGGCAGGAACAAGGGGGAUAGGCACCACUUCAAAACAGCAUGAAAGGAAGGAUGUUCCAACACUCAGUGUAGCACAUUAGAGGAAAACUAACAAGCGUUGAGGAGACAUAGAUCACAGAAAUCACACAGUGCCACAGCAGCAGCUUGAGCUCAAGCGUGAACUAAAACAGGGGAAUGACAACCGUAACAGACGAAAAGAUAUCACACCAGUAUCUUACACAGUAGGUUCAAGAUAAAUCCAGAAUCUCUUAUAUUCAUCGUUUAAAAGC